CGUUGGUUAUAUUUAGACGAAUAAUAAAGGACUUCUUUCAGUAUUGGAUCGAUAGUAUUAUCAAUGUUCUCAGAAAUACAUAUUCGUGAUCGAUGAGAAUACAUUUGUUGGAGUCGAGAUCAUUCGCUUUAUUUUUAUCCGUCAAAGUUCGAAUAAAAAUUUAGGGUGAACGUUUCGUUUGAGAUCUAUCUGACUCUUUAUCUCUUCUCCUUUUCUUUCUUUCUUUUUUUCCUUUUUUCACUUUUCAAGUGAAAAAAAAAGCGAAAAAUAAUUUAUAAUUUGUGAUCACAUUGGUAAACAAGUAUCCUCUAUGUGAUAGCGAACGUAACAGUAAAGAUGAUAUAUAGUCUGCUACGAAACAUCGAAAUACAUAAACAGUGAUGUCUGAAGACGAUUAUAAGCGAAUGGCAACAGACCGUUAUCUUGAACAUGUACAUUGAUAAACUUGAAAUCGAAGUCCUACAGCACAUAUCUAAGGAAUUCUUCGCACUAGAAGUUAUGGCAGGCGAAAGGAUGGUUACGCAGUUGCACUUGGAAGACAAUGCGACGAUAAGAACGCUUUCAGAGGCAAAUGCAACGACCGGAUGCAAGUUUGCGAAACUUGCCUGGGCAAUUAACAAGGCUACUUUAUAUCUUUAAUACUUCAUUUUACCGUAUAUGUUCAUUAAAGAAACAAAAAAAGGAGAAAGAAAGGAAGAAAAAAAAUCCACAGAAUAAGAAAUAAGAGAUAAAACGUGUUUAUAAUUAUUUAUUCAGAUUAAUAUGUACCAACCCAAAUGAAAUUGGAUCCACAUGUGUUCAGCAUUGAAACGACUAUUUUUAUCUAAGAAGAUUUCAAUUAACUACAUCGUCGUCAUCGUCGAGCUGACAAAAGCGAAAACAAGGGACUAAUUGCGAGCGAUAGAAGGGGACCGGAAACUGAAACUAUUACGACCGGUUUUCGAGCCAGUCGAUUAUCCCUAGUAUAUGCUUAUGCUAGUUAUAACUCUAAUGACGAAAACAUCUGCUGACACACGUGAAACUUCAAUCUUCUUUAACCAUCGAAAAUAUCAAUGAAUGACGAGAACGUUCGAAUAAAAAGGAUUGUUUAUAUUAAAUAAAGAAAAAAAAACAAACAAAGAAACAAAACAAAACAAAAAAAAAGAAAAUAUUUUAUUAUGCAAACUAUCGCAUUUAACACCGUUCCAAAUACAAAAUGAACACCUUGUAUUAUUUCUUAUGUACGGUUGAGUAACCGCACGGUAGAGACAACAUACGCACAUAUACAUACAUAUUUACGUGGGUACGUCUCGGGCAUUGGGAGACUCCUAUCAUAAAACGGCCGAGUGAAAGGAUAAGCCGCGAGUUCAUCUCGAGUCUCAACAAACCAAUCUUCUCGAGCAUUCAGACGUGCCAUCGAAGAGUCAUUUAAACGAUUGGAAUGCGCGCGCGAAUGAAAUUGAUUUUUUUGUUCUCUUUUCUUUUCUUUUAUUUAUUUAUUUAUUUUUUUAUUCUUUUUUUUCCCCCUUAGAACAUGUAAUCGCAUUAUCGAUUAACUACGUUCUUCACGCGUUCCUAUAAGGUUUCGAGCGAGUAUGCGUGUAAGAGGGAAAGAGAGAGAAAAGGAUAAAAAGAAAAUGAGAAGACAAGUUUUCGACGAGUCGACGAAACUGGCAGAAAGAAACGAUGAUGGUAAGAAAGAAGAGUAGGUCGUGAAACAUCUGUCUCUACGUUGUGCGUUCGCGCCAAGAGAGUUUGUUCGAUAUGCUUUCGCGAGCGAGCAAGCAAAAUCAAACAUAAGGCGAGGCUGUGUGCCAGAAGCUGCUACGUUUUAAAUAGCUUAUCCACGAAACUUAAAGAAGGCACGAGUCGACUCGAAUUUCUUUUCUUCUUAUUUUCGUUUUUCUUUCCCUCUCUUGUUUUUUUCAUCUUUUUUCAUUCUUUAUUUUGUUCUUUCUUCGUCUUUUUUUUUUUCUUUCCGUAGAGAUAUGAUGUAUAACCGAAUACUGACUCUGCACCUGCCUGCACGAAGAGACUCAACGAACAUUGAAAAAAUUGAACGUUUUUCUUCCUCU
Long non-coding RNA from Vespa velutina, 2054 nucleotides. RefSeq lists it as uncharacterized. The transcript is spliced from 3 exons. The record is from RefSeq and is a predicted model, not a curated record. NCBI's taxonomy places the organism in Eukaryota, Metazoa, Arthropoda, Insecta, Hymenoptera, Vespidae.